RNAcentral lists this ribosomal RNA (505 nucleotides) under uncultured bacterium. RNAcentral's name for it is "partial 16S ribosomal RNA". It matches the Rfam family "Bacterial small subunit ribosomal RNA", at positions 28 to 507 of the family's 1533-position model. The record is from RNAcentral.
GACGAGCGCUGGCGGCGUGCCUAAUACAUGCGAGUAGAACGCACAGUUUAUACCGUAGCUUGCUACACCAUAAACUGUGAGUUGCGAACGGGUGAGUAACGCGUAGGUAACCUGCCUGGUAGCGGGGGAUAACUAUUGGAAACGAUAGCUAAUACCGCAUAAUAUUGAUUAUUGAAUGAUAAUUGAUUGAAAGAUGCUAUUGCAUCACUACCAGAUGGAUAUGCGUUUUAUUAGCUAGUAGGUGAGGUAACGGCUCACCUAGGCGACGGUACAUAGCCGAGUUGGAGGGGUGGUCGGCCACACUGGGACUUAGACACGGCCCAGACUCCUACGGGAGGCAGCAGUAGGGAAUCUUCGGCAAUGGACGGAAAUCUGACCGAACAACGCCGCGUGAGUGAAGAAGGGUUUCGGGUCGUAAAGCUCUGUUGUAAGAGAAGAACGGGUGUGAGAGUGGAAAGUUCACACUGUGACGGUAUCUUACCAGAAAGGGACGGCUAACUACGUG